Molecule: ribosomal RNA, 468 nt
Filed under: uncultured bacterium
Lineage: Bacteria
Description: SSU rRNA
Rfam family: Bacterial small subunit ribosomal RNA
Source: RNAcentral
AGGACUAACGCUGGCGGCGUGCCUAACACAUGCAAGUCGAACGAGGGGUAGCAAUACCCCUAGUGGCAGACGGGUGAGUAACACGUAGUCAACCUACCUCUUAAUGGGGGAUAACUAGCCGAAAGGUUAGCUAAUACCGCAUACGAUCGUCGAGUGGCAUCACACGACGAUGAAAGGAGCAAUCCGUUGAGAGAGGGGACUGCGUCCCAUUAGUUAGUUGGUGGGGUAAUGGCCUACCAAGACUCCGAUGGGUAGCUGGCUUGAGAGAGCGACCAGCCACACUGGAACUGAGACACGGUCCAGACUCCUACGGGAGGCAGCAGUGAGGAAUUUUCCGCAAUGGGGGAAACCCUGACGGAGCGACGCCGCGUGUGGGAAGAAGGCCUUCGGGUCGUAAACCACUGUCGAGGGGACGAUAUUGACGGUACCCCUGGAGGAAGCCCCGGCUAACUACGCGCCAGCAGCCGC